Molecule: non-coding RNA, 29 nt
Filed under: Mus musculus (house mouse)
Lineage: Eukaryota; Metazoa; Chordata; Mammalia; Rodentia; Muridae
Source: RNAcentral
UGUUUUUUUAGUUUUCAGGGAUGGCAUUU